This 231-nucleotide ribosomal RNA is filed under the name uncultured bacterium. RNAcentral's name for it is "partial 16S ribosomal RNA". It matches the Rfam family "Bacterial small subunit ribosomal RNA", at positions 524 to 755 of the family's 1533-position model. The record is from RNAcentral.
UACGGAGGGAGCUAGCGUUGUUCGGAAUUACUGGGCGUAAAGCGCACGUAGGCGGCUACUCAAGUCGGGGGUGAAAGCCCGGGGCUCAACCCCGGAACUGCCCUCGAAACUAGGUAGCUAGAAUCUUGGAGAGGUCAGUGGAAUUCCGAGUGUAGAGGUGAAAUUCGUAGAUAUUCGGAAGAACACCAGUGGCGAAGGCGGCUCUGGACAAGUGAUCUGACGCUGAGGACG